AGACUGCUGUUUCUCUGAGUGGCUUCUGGGGACUUGAGACUGUAAGUAGGU
This 51-nucleotide microRNA precursor is filed under the name Mus caroli (Ryukyu mouse). RNAcentral's name for it is "microRNA 7230 (MGP_CAROLIEiJ_G0007968.1)". Lineage: Eukaryota; Metazoa; Chordata; Mammalia; Rodentia; Muridae. The record is from RNAcentral.